RNAcentral lists this ribosomal RNA (253 nucleotides) under uncultured bacterium. RNAcentral describes it as "partial 16S ribosomal RNA". It matches the Rfam family "Bacterial small subunit ribosomal RNA", at positions 524 to 776 of the family's 1533-position model. The record is from RNAcentral.
UACGGAGGGUGCAAACGUUGCUCGGAAUCAUUGGGCGUAAAGCGCACGUAGGCGGCUCGUUAAGUCGGAUGUGAAAGCCCUCGGCUCAACCGAGGAAGUGCAUACGAAACUGGCGAGCUUGAAUAUGGAAGAGGGUCGCGGAAUUCCCGGUGUAGAGGUGAAAUGCGUAGAGAUCGGCAGGAACACCCAGGGGGAAACCAGGCGACUGGGCAGCACCUGACGCUGAGGUGCGAGAGCGUGGGGAGCGAACCGG